AUGUUCACUGUCGGUGCUGUCAAGUACGGGGAGAGGACGUGGGCACUCAAAUGCAGCAAUCUGGACAGCAUCCGGAGCUCCCUCAAGAAGGAACGACCCACCAGGCAUAACCAUUUCCACCCCCAGGAUCAGGCGGGAGAUCACAAAGACGAGGAAUUCGUUCUCCGUCGAGCUCAUUCGCUCUUCCACAUCUGCAAGCGUGCCAUAGUUGAUUCUUCAGUCGACGGGGAUUCAGAAUAUCGAGACACCACAGAAAUGCUUGGGAAAAUUGAUAUGAUCUGGGGUUUGAUGGAGAUGGAGCUCUCGCUCAUGUAUGACAUCUUGUACACCAAGGCGGCUGUGAUCCACACCUGGUUCGGCUACUGCCUUCGGGUCAUCUCGCCCCUUGCCAUCGUCGCCCCCCUUCUGCUUUUUCAGUUCAGCAGCAAAGUUGGGCACAGCAGAGUUGACAUUGCCAUCACCUAUGUGUUGUUGUGCAGUGCUUUGUUCAUGGAGACAACUUCCCUGUUGAAUGCUGUAGGGUCCACCUGGGCAUUUGCAUUCCUAUGUACCACGAGCUGGAGCUGGCUCCGUUACGAAGCCCUAUGCACCGCGAGAUGGGACCGGCUACGGCGUGCGGUUGCAUCUCUUCACCGGCUCAUCAAGGCAACCACUGGAGGAGGUAGCAGCUACAGAUCGGAGAGGUGGACAGGCACCCGCACCUUGGGGCAGUACAACAUGUUGCACUUUUGCACUCGCCGUGACAACAACCUGGCUAGCCCUUUGCUUGGUAGGUUGGCCAAGAUGGUGGGGCUCGGGGAGUGGUGGAACAGGAAGCAUUACUCGGGAUCUAUCGAGAUCUCAGAGCUUGUGAAGGAGCAUACCAUCAAACACAUGGCACGGUUGUACAAGAAGGGGAGGUGGAACGCAUUAGGAGUUCUCAGGAAGAAGUGGGGCCAGGAGGCACUGGAGCAAAAUAAAUCGUUCCCAGAACUCGAGGAAUUCCUCGGUGUCGAGUUUCAGGAAGGCGUCAUCAUCUGGCACAUCGCCACCGAUGUUUUCCUCAUCAAGAGCGAGCGAGCAAGGGUGGAGGGUGCAUCGGGUCGUGUGGAGGCCAUCAAGCUGAUGUCCAACUACAUGGUGUUCCUCCUCGUCGAAAGGCCCUACAUGCUACCAGGCCUCGCCCAGAACAGGUUGUACCAACGAACAUGUGAAAAUCUGGUCGAGAUGCGAGCAGCUCCCAACCAUCGAAAGUGGGAUAUUUGGGAAGUUCUCCGCUCUCUGUUCAGCCUGCGUGACGACCCUGAUUCCAAUUCCAAGGCCGUCGAUAUAGAGAAGCUUGCAAAGAUCCUAUACGAUAAGAAUCCAUCCUUCAGCAUUGAUGCUCCCCGUCUCUCUUAUGUCACCCGGCUUGCCAGAAGACUGGUAGAAAAGGAGGCAGAUGGCACGACUGACUCGUUGCAGCUUGUCCUUGAGGUGUGGACAGAUAUCCUGGUCUACGCAGGCAACAAAUGCAGCAGGGAGUCCCAUGCCAAGAAGCUCAACAGUGGCGGUGAGUUCACAACCAUCCUGUGGCUUAUGGCAGAACACCUGUUCCAAGCUUCUCUCGAGGGCCCAUGA
Molecule: ribosomal RNA, 1599 nt
Filed under: Triticum aestivum (bread wheat)
Lineage: Eukaryota; Viridiplantae; Streptophyta; Magnoliopsida; Poales; Poaceae
Description: partial small subunit ribosomal RNA
Source: RNAcentral